AAGCCUGUUUUGAGCAGGAAACCUUAAGCUCUGCAUAUACCUCCGUUUUAUUUUCAGUUGCGGCUCAGAUUUCGGGGAGUCGUUGCCUGUACU
This 93-nucleotide non-coding RNA is filed under the name Legionella worsleiensis. Lineage: Bacteria; Pseudomonadati; Pseudomonadota; Gammaproteobacteria; Legionellales; Legionellaceae. The record is from RNAcentral.